RNAcentral lists this unclassified non-coding RNA (336 nucleotides) under soil metagenome. RNAcentral describes it as "partial contains 5.8S ribosomal RNA, internal transcribed spacer 2, and large subunit ribosomal RNA". The stretch from base 1 to 120 matches the Rfam family "5.8S ribosomal RNA", at positions 35 to 154 of the family's 154-position model. The record is from RNAcentral.
GAUGAAGAACGCAGCGAAAUGCGAUAAGUAAUGGGAAUUGCAGAAUUCAGUGAAUCAUCGAAUCUUUGAACGCACAUUGCGCCCGCCAGUAUUCUGGCGGGCAUGCCUGUUCGAGCGUCAUUUCAACCAUCAAGCCCCAGGCUUGUGUUGGGGACCUGCGGCUGCCGCAGGCCCUGAAAACCAGUGGCGGGCUCGCUGUCACACCGGGCGUAGUAGAUUUUAUCUCGCUCAGGGCGUGCUGCGGGUUCCGGCCGUUAAAAAGCCUUUUUUACCCAAGGUUGACCUCGGAUCAGGUAGGAAGACCCGCUGAACUUAAGCAUAUCAAUAAGCGGAGGA